AAAAUAAGGAGAGUUAAGUAAUAGGAAGUUAGGAAAAGAGAAGUCAGAAGCAAUUUACGUGAAAACAGACUUUUGGGAGAAAAGGGAGAGAAAAGCAAGUAGAGCCAAGAACUGAUUUUGCUGUGCAUUUCUUUCUGCAAAAUUAAGGUAAGGGUGAGACUAACAUUCAAUCUUAUUAAGUCUGUAAUUCUGAUGAUUAAUUUAAUAAGAGUAGGAUUAAUUUAAGGAAGUUGGAGAAUUAGGUUAAAGUGAGGAAUUGAUGAUUUAUUCAUAGUGGGUGCCAAUUUUGUUGUCGUGCCUGAUAACAUGAUCCGUGAGAAUACUAGGAUUUGUAUGAUUCUUAUUAUGUAAUUGAUUCUUGUCAUCGUACUUGGUUUUUGAGAGACAAACUUGCUCUUUUAAUUUAUAUAUAUGAUAUGGAUGCCUAUUGCUUUAUCGUAGCCUAUUGUAAAUCGGUGUAAAUUGGAUGCCAAUUGCUUUGAAUUAUUUGCUUUGAAUUAUUCACUAUGCCUAUUACUUUGUUAUUGAUCCUUUUUGAUCGUUGCCUUUUUAUUGGUCAAGAUCCUUCUUUGAAUGCCUAUCUGUUUCUUAUUUUCCUUUAUCAGCAUGGAUCAGGCAUGUAUAGAAUACAAAGUUAAUUUUUAUUUUAAAAUAAAUAAUUGUGAAUGCUUCGAUUUAUUUUGUUGUUCUUUUUGUUUUAAUUGCAACAUGGUUCAAUUAGUCAUUCGGUUGUCCAAUUCUAGAGGUCAUAGGAUCUCUUAAAUUCAACUAUUCCACUUUUUAUGUUCCCUGAUUAAACCUUGGUGAAUUUGGUUUGCCAAAGGUCUUCAAAAAGCUUGAUAAUGAUAUGCCUUUAUAUAGAUAAAACAUGAUAUAGCUUUUGUUCGAAUGAGUUCAUGUUGGUGCUAAUUUUUAUAUCAAAGGGAUUAAUAAUAUUUGGCUAGAUGUUGUCGGAUCAUAUUUUGGAUGAAAUUUAUGUUUUGCUUUUGAUCAAUGAAGUUUAUGGUUGUGUGUUCAAGUAAUUUGGUUAUUAUUUGUUUAUAGAUUUUUAGAUAAUCAAUUGAUUGUGAUGAUUUUGAAUGAAAGUGAAGUUGAAUAAUAUAGGUUGCUUUUUCUGAUUUUUCUUUUCAUCUCUGCCCCGAAUUUGAAAUGAAAUAUGGUAUUGAUUGGUACAGAAUUGGUCUCAGGUGUUGGUCUAAGUUGUAAAGUUGUAAGUUAUCUUUCCAAAGUAUUGGAGUCUUAAGUUGUUAAUGUUUUCUAAGUUGUUGAAGUCGUAGUUGAAGCUGUUAUUGGUGAUUGUUUAUGUUUAGGUGUUUUAUAAGAGGUGGUGUACUCUUACGUUGUUGUUGUAUAAGAGGUGGUGUACUCUUACGUUGUCGUUAUAAGAGGUGGUGUACUCUUACGUCGUUUUUUAUAAGAGGUGGUGUACUCUUACGUGUCGUCUUUAUAGGAGGUGGUGUACUCUUGCGUUGUUAUUUUAUAAGAGGUGGUGUACUCUUAAUUUAUCGUUUUUCUAAGAGGUGGUGUACUCUUACGUUGUUGUUGUAUAAGAGGUGGUGUACUCUUACGUUGUCGUUUAUAAGAGGUGGUGUACUCUUACGUCGUUUUUUUAUAAGAGGUGGUGUACUCUUACGUGUCGUCUUUAUAAGAGGUGGUGUACUCUUACGUUGUUAUUUUAUAAGAGGUGGUUACUCUUACUUUAUCGUUUUUCUAAGAGGUGGUGUACUCUUACUUUGUUGUUGUCUAUAAGAGGUGGUGUACUCUUACUUUGUUUAUGUUGAUGAGUAUGACGAGGUUAUGAUGAUCUUCUAUAGUGUUGAAUGCGAGGUUGUUAUGAUAUUACAUGAGGUUACCUACGAGUUGUUAAAUGUACUUGAUGAGGGUUAUGUUAAGUUGUCUUCUAUUCAUGAGCACUAAGGGGAUGUUAAGGAGAAUUAUUAUUGAGUGUAUAUGAUGAUGUCUAUGUUGUUAAUUGUAAUUGAUGAAUUUUAUGCUUAUUAUUAUUGUUUGAGAAAUCUCACCCCUUCUGCUUGGAAAUGUUGCCCUUUGUAUGGGUAACUUGCAGGUAUUUGAAGAUUAGUAGGAGUGGUGGCUCAAGUGUCUAGGGCUCUGAUACGUACGGGAUGUGAUUUUCUUAUUGUUUUUCAUUCCUAUGUAUCAAUUUUUGAAUAUUGCUGAUGUAGCCCUAUGGUUGUUGAAUUUAUGUUGAUAAGGCUUUUAUGCCAAGAUUUAAUUACG
This 2238-nucleotide long non-coding RNA is filed under the name Medicago truncatula (barrel medic). Its description in RNAcentral is "long non-coding RNA (MTRU_LNC007714)". Lineage: Eukaryota; Viridiplantae; Streptophyta; Magnoliopsida; Fabales; Fabaceae. The record is from RNAcentral.